UCAGGAUGAACGCUAGCUACAGGCUUAACACAUGCAAGUCGAGGGGCAGCAUUUUAGUUUGCUUGCAAACUAAAGAUGGCGACCGGCGCACGGGUGAGUAACACGUAUCCAACCUGCCGAUAACUCGGGGAUAGCCUUUCGAAAGAAAGAUUAAUAUCCGAUAGUAUAUUAAAACCGCAUGGUUUUACUAUUAAAGAAUUUCGGUUAUCGAUGGGGAUGCGUUCCAUUAGUUUGUUGGCGGGGUAACGGCCCACCAAGACUACGAUGGAUAGGGGUUCUGAGAGGAAGGUCCCCCACAUUGGAACUGAGACACGGUCCAAACUCCUACGGGAGGCAGCAGUGAGGAAUAUUGGUCAAUGGACGAGAGUCUGAACCAGCCAAGUAGCGUGAAGGAUGACUGCCCUAUGGGUUGUAAACUUCUUUUAUAUGGGAAUAAAGUAUUCCACGUGUGGAAUUUUGUAUGUACCAUAUGAAUAAGGAUCGGCUAACUCCGUGCCAGCAGCCGCGGUAAUACGGAGGAUCCGAGCGUUAUCCGGAUUUAUUGGGUUUAAAGGGAGCGUAGGUGGAUUGUUAAGUCAGUUGUGAAAGUUUGCGGCUCAACCGUAAAAUUGCAGUUGAAACUGGCAGUCUUGAGUACAGUAGAGGUGGGCGGAAUUCGUGGUGUAGCGGUGAAAUGCUUAGAUAUCACGAAGAACUCCGAUUGCGAAGGCAGCUCACUAGACUGCAACUGACACUGAUGCUCGAAAGUGUGGGUAUCAAACAGGAUUAGAUACCCUGGUAGUCCACACAGUAAACGAUGAAUACUCGCUGUUUGCGAUAUACAGUAAGCGGCCAAGCGAAAGCAUUAAGUAUUCCACCUGGGGAGUACGCCGGCAACGGUGAAACUCAAAGGAAUUGACGGGGGCCCGCACAAGCGGAGGAACAUGUGGUUUAAUUCGACGAUACGCGAGGAACCUUACCCGGGCUUAAAUUGCAUUUGAAUAAUCUGGAAACAGGUUAGCCGCAAGGCAAAUGUGAAGGUGCUGCAUGGUUGUCGUCAGCUCGUGCCGUGAGGUGUCGGCUUAAGUGCCAUAACGAGCGCAACCCUUAUCUUUAGUUACUAACAGGUCAUGCUGAGGACUCUAGAGAGACUGCCGUCGUAAGAUGUGAGGAAGGUGGGGAUGACGUCAAAUCAGCACGGCCCUUACGUCCGGGGCUACACACGUGUUACAAUGGGGGGUACAGAAGGCAGCUACCUGGCGACAGGAUGCUAAUCCCAAAAACCUCUCUCAGUUCGGAUCGAAGUCUGCAACCCGACUUCGUGAAGCUGGAUUCGCUAGUAAUCGCGCAUCAGCCAUGGCGCGGUGAAUACGUUCCCGGGCCUUGUACACACCGCCCGUCAAGCCAUGAAAGCCGGGGGUACCUGAAGUACGUAACCGCAAGGAGCGUCCUAGGGUAAAA
Molecule: ribosomal RNA, 1440 nt
Filed under: uncultured organism
Description: SSU rRNA
Rfam family: Bacterial small subunit ribosomal RNA
Source: RNAcentral